RNAcentral lists this ribosomal RNA (279 nucleotides) under uncultured bacterium. Its description in RNAcentral is "partial 16S ribosomal RNA". It matches the Rfam family "Bacterial small subunit ribosomal RNA", at positions 506 to 784 of the family's 1533-position model. The record is from RNAcentral.
UGCCAGCAGCCGCGGUAAUACGGAGGGUGCAAGCGUUGUUCGGAAUUAUUGGGCGUAAAGCGUGCGUAGGCCGCCUGGUAAGUCGGAUGUGAAAUCCCGGGGCUUAACUCCGGAACUGCAUCCGAUACUGCCAGGCUUGAGUACGGGAGAGGGAAGCGGAAUUCCUGGUGUAGCGGUGAAAUGCGUAGAUAUCAGGAGGAACACCUGUGGCGAAGGCGGCUUUCUGGACCGAUACUGACGCUGAGACGCGAAAGCGUGGGGAGCAAACAGGAUUAGAUA